CUCGUAGUUGGAUUUCGGGCGUGGAGGUUCGGUCCGCCGUUUCGGUGUGCACUGUCUUUCUGCGUCUUUCUGUCGGGGACGCGCUUCUGGCCUUAAUUGGCUGGGACGUGGAUUCGACGAGGUUACUUUGAAAAAAUUAGAGUGUUCAAAGCAAGCUAAAGCUCUGAAUACAUUAGCAUGGAAUAACGCGAGAGGACUCGGUCCUUAUUUUGUUGGUCUUCAAGGAUGGAGUAAUGAUUAAGAGGGACAGUUGGGGGCAUUCGUAUUUCAUUGCUAGAGGUGAAAUUCUUGGANNUANGAAAGACGAACUUCUGCGAAAGCAUUUGCCAAGGAUGUUUUCAUUGAUCAAGAACGAAAGUUGGGGGCUCGAAGAUGAUCAGAUACCAUCCUAGUCUCAACCAUAAACGAUGCCGACUAGGGAUUGGCAGGUGUUACAUCGAUGACUCUGCCAGCACCUUAUGAGAAAUCAA
This 470-nucleotide ribosomal RNA is filed under the name Pycnococcus provasolii. RNAcentral describes it as "SSU rRNA". It matches the Rfam family "Eukaryotic small subunit ribosomal RNA", at positions 627 to 1101 of the family's 1831-position model. Lineage: Eukaryota; Viridiplantae; Chlorophyta; Pseudoscourfieldiophyceae; Pseudoscourfieldiales; Pycnococcaceae. The record is from RNAcentral.